UGGUUCAGUUUUUACAGCAGCUCAGCGGGACAGAGUCAGACUUUAGAUCUGGACUCAGAGACACAGACAUGUCUUCAUCAGGACUCUGCUGCUUCCUCCUCUUCCUCACCUUCUCCUCAGCAGAUGGGUUCCUGAACUAUCGUGUGGAUCGUUGUGAUUUUAACUCCAGUCGCCUGGAGGACAUCCAAUUCAUCCGUUCAAGGUACUUCAACAAGCUGGAGCUGUACAGGUUCGACAGCAGAGUGGGGAAGUUUGUUGGGUACACGGAGUACGGAAUGAAGCAGGCUGAGUACAGGAACAGCAAACCUGAGUACCUGGCCCAGAUGAGAGCUCAGAGGGAGGCCUACUGCCUGAACCACGUUGGUAUUUAUUACCAGCUCGUUCUGACUAAAUCAGUGAAGCCCACGGUGAGGCUGUUCUCCACCCAACCCUCCUCUGGUCACCAUGACUCCAUGUUGGUCUGCAGAGUCUUCAGCUUCUACCCCAAGAACAUCAAAGUCUCCUGGCUGAAGGACGGACACGUGGACACAUCUGAUGUCACCACUACUGAGGAGAUGCCAGAUGGGGACUGGUACUACCAGGUCCUGUCUCACCUGGAGUACACUCCCAGGUCUGGAGAGAAGAUCUCCUGUAUGGUGGAGCACGCCAGCCUGAAGGAACCUCUGAUCACCGACUGGGGUACUCACCUGUCUGUGAACCGUCCAUGCCUGAAUCAGAGAGGAACCAGAUCGCCAUCGGAGCUUCAGGGCUGAUCCUGGGUCUGAUCUUGUCUCUGGCUGGAUUCAUUUACUACAAGAGGAAGUCUAGAGGACGUAUUCUGGUUCCCAGUAACUGAUCCUGGUUCUGCUGCUGCUUCCUGUCUCCAGUGGUUCUGGUUCUGACCCGACUGCUCUAGAUCUGAACCAGAACUCUUGACUUUCUGCAGCUCUGAUCCUGGUCCAGGAGGUGGUUCUGGAGGACCUCCUGGACCAGGUCUGAUCUGGACUCUGCUGUUUAAUCACAUGAAGAUCAGCUGAUCUGAGACUUCCUCUUCUCUGAUUGGAUAAGAACCUGCAUCAGUCCUGGACCAGUGGGUGUGGCUGUCACUGGUUAUACUGGUCUGACUAGUUAUACUGGCUAUACUGGUUUUACUUGUCUGGUUGGUUAUACUGGUCUACCUGUUCAUGCUGGUCUGACUGGUCACCAGUUAAAACGAUUAAAGUUUGUCUUCUAUUCUAAUAAAA
This is an RNA transcript of Nothobranchius furzeri (turquoise killifish), 1223 nucleotides long. It is a transcript of the gene named H-2 class II histocompatibility antigen, E-S beta chain, with no coding region annotated. The record is from RefSeq and is a predicted model, not a curated record. Lineage: Eukaryota; Metazoa; Chordata; Actinopteri; Cyprinodontiformes; Nothobranchiidae.